RNAcentral lists this ribosomal RNA (429 nucleotides) under uncultured bacterium. Its description in RNAcentral is "bacterial SSU rRNA". It matches the Rfam family "Bacterial small subunit ribosomal RNA", at positions 355 to 776 of the family's 1533-position model. The record is from RNAcentral. RNAcentral also lists the same sequence under 1 other name.
UGGGGAAUUUUGGACAAUGGGCGCAAGCCUGAUCCAGCAAUGCCGCGUGCAGGAAGAAGGCCUUCGGGUUGUAAACUGCUUUUGUACGGAACGAAACGGUCUGGGUUAAUACCCUGGACUAAUGACGGUACCGUAAGAAUAAGCACCGGCUAACUACGUGCCAGCAGCCGCGGUAAUACGUAGGGUGCAAGCGUUAAUCGGAAUUACUGGGCGUAAAGCGUGCGCAGGCGGUUUUGUAAGACAGGCGUGAAAUCCCCGGGCUCAACCUGGGAAUUGCGCUUGUGACUGCAAGGCUGGAGUGCGGCAGAGGGGGAUGGAAUUCCGCGUGUAGCAGUGAAAUGCGUAGAUAUGCGGAGGAACACCGAUGGCGAAGGCAAUCCCCUGGGCCUGCACUGACGCUCAUGCACGAAAGCGUGGGGAGCAAACAGG